GUUCAGCCCGUUUGUUCUGAUGCGUGUUCGAAAGUUUCGUGCUGUUUGUCGUGUUAAUGAACUUGACUAAGGAGCGAAAAUCGCCAAAACCCCUUGCCAAAAACCCCCUCUUUUUUUUUCCAUAUUUCGAAUUAAUUUACAACCUGUCAUUAGCAGCCCCGAGAGAAGCUACAAGGAAGCGAAGCUCAUGCCAAGGAAAAUAACCUAUAUUAAGUAUACUCGUACGGAUGGUAUACAGAAUAAUUCCAAUGCCGGAAAUUACCAGGUGAUACAAAAAUUUCUCUCCUUUUUUUAGAACCUCUUUGAGGGUUUUUUUGUGAGUGUAUGCGGGCGAAUCAAGGCAACCUUUUUGAAACGCAUAACAAUAACGAAAAUUUGAAAGAGAUAAAAGACAUGAACGUGGAAGGAAACGGAAAUGAUUAUUUCUCCUCCUGUGGCUCCACCUGUUCUUUUGCAGUGUCUGAGAUGAGUCCAAGCAGAAUAUAAGCAGAGGACAUAUACCAUGAAGGAGGCGUCCGACUGCCAUCGUUGUCAUUGCGGCCAUUGUUCCAUUAUAGCAUUUGUGAUGUUGUUGUUGCUCCUGCAAUUUUCAUUUGGCCUUUUUUCUCUGGACCGUUAUCAGUGACAAACGGCCAGGGCCGGGUGGAAAACGGAUAUGGGAAGAGAACAAAGAAAGGAUCCACUCCCCAGACUGGCACAAUUUACACAUUUAAUAUUCAAAUAAACUCAUUUGCAUGCAGACGAAAUGAGCGGGUCGGCCAGCUGGACACUGUCGCAACAUAUGCGUCCCUGUCUGACCUUUGAGCUCGCUCCCAGAGUUUUUGUUUUUAUACAUUUGUCAUCAUUAGGCCCCUGAGUUGGCUUGCCUUAGCUCCAUGUUGUUGAAGCCAACAGGAUAAAAUCCGAAAAGGUAAAGGACUGACUCUGGCAAUUGGCAAAAUGUAAAAAGCCUGUACUGCCUGCACUGGAUUUUUGAUUUUUGAAUUUAAUGACUGAAAUCUAAUGGCGUUC
RNAcentral lists this long non-coding RNA (1011 nucleotides) under Drosophila guanche. Lineage: Eukaryota; Metazoa; Arthropoda; Insecta; Diptera; Drosophilidae. The record is from RNAcentral.